Molecule: unclassified non-coding RNA, 1113 nt
Filed under: Hevea brasiliensis (rubber tree)
Lineage: Eukaryota; Viridiplantae; Streptophyta; Magnoliopsida; Malpighiales; Euphorbiaceae
Source: RNAcentral
GGAAAUUAACAAAACUUGUGAUGGUAAAUCCUCAUUUUAGUCUUCUGCUUUCAUAUGGGAAUGCAAUUCUGAAGUUGGAAAGAGCUUUUCUCUUACACGACGUAAUGGGCAAAUGCAUGCUAACCAAGCUUUUUCUUAAUAAAUCUUUCAAAAGAUAAAAAAAAGGGUGAAUGGGUAUACAUAAUGCUCUGGAUUAUGAGUCAAUGUCACUAGAAAUAACUGGAAGGGGAUAUUUAUGAGUUUCAUACCCAAUGCUUGUUCAUGAUAUGACUUACUAUGUACGACUUGCUGAACGAUAGGGGUCUCUUUUGAGCAUCACUUAUAAGUCAAUUUAAUAUUGUCAAUGACUGUCCACUAGAGAAGUGUGAUCAUAUUUUGAUUUUGUUCAUGCUAAAACUUUGUUUAAGCAAUUUCUAGAUAAAAUAAAAUGCAUCAGUCCCAUACGCGUUCAAAGCGGCUUGACCACCACUGUUGCGCAGUCACCUUGUUCAUGUGCAUGCUUGCCAGUCCCCUAAAUAAGAAAAAUCAGAAAAGAUUUAUUGUUACAAGAGGCCAUUUUUUCUUAGUAAAAGUUUUAAGUGGGACUUGGGAUUUGGCUUGUUAUACACAAUAGAUUUUAGUUUUGCCGCAGUAAAUUUUACUUCAUUCAUGGCACUGAAAUUUGUCUUAUGAGGUGUUAUCAUCUAUUGAAUGCUAGUGCAUUUUAUGAAAAGAUUUAAAGCGGCUGCACCAACUCCUUUCCUCCACAAAAGAAUGACCCACCAAAAGGACACAUGUUUUUUGGAGUUGUAUCAAAUGCAUGGAUUCUCUGCUGGUGUUCAUUAAUCUGAAACUAUAGCCUCUUUAGAUGAUAAAAUAAAUAAGGGUUGUAUUUUAAGAUUGAGACUAUGAAAACUACUUUCAGAAAAUGAAUGAACACGUGUAUGUAAUAAAUAAAUCUUAGUGCAGCCAGAAUGGAAAACAUCAAAUAUAUUUGCAGAUGGAAGAAGUAUAAUUUUCAUUUCUUUUUCUAGAAAAGCUUGAUUUGUAUAUAAUUUUGCUUCUUUGUGAUUUUUUUUUGAAAAAUAUGAUUAUUUAAUUAUAUUUGCAGGGUUAUGUGGAUAAGUAUGCCAA